GUGAGACUCUGGGGAAAGCUGUCAUAGAAUGGAAAACGCAAUCACCGAUGGUGUGAAAAAUGCUUCUAGAUAUGACCGUCCUGGACAUAGUGAAGCUCCACAGAUAUCCAAGACAAUAUAAAAAAAAAGCUGGAAGCUUCAGAGACAUGGGAUUCUAUAACAGAAAGAUCAAUAUUUGGCCAUAGAUUAAUGAAAAUAAAUCAGCCAUAGAUUGAUCUUUAAAAGAAUGAAGUGAACAUCAAAGACUGUUGAGAAAAAGAUACAGUCAACUUAAAUCACCCACCUUCCACUACAUCAAUCACACAAAGGCCCACAAGAGAUGGCACCAGAUUCUUUGCUGCAACAUGAACGGCUAUCGCUCCACCCAUACUAUGGCCAAUCAAAACAACAGGGGGAGAAUUUUCACCAUACAGCGUUUCCACUAUAAUACCAAUGUCUCUGUAAAAGAAAAAAUAUAUUUUGGAAACAAAAACAGCAUUCUCAAAGUUGCCUCACAGAUGGUUUUAAAGGUUACCAGGUUAUGUAUUUGAGGUGGAAAAGAAUUCGACAAUCCAAUGUCAAGAUAAUUUAACACAUUGUAUUCUGGACUGGCUUAAUACAUAAUUUGUUAUUUCCUUUUAUUUGUUCAUGGGUGUGAACAAGGUUAGUACUUAUUGCACAAAACUCUUCAAAUAGUAAAUGAUGUCCCUUGAACUGCUGCAGUCAUAUGUUGUUCUGUUAGGGGUGGCGCUUUAG
Molecule: long non-coding RNA, 735 nt
Organism: Stegostoma tigrinum
Lineage: Eukaryota; Metazoa; Chordata; Chondrichthyes; Orectolobiformes; Stegostomatidae
Exons: 3
Source: RefSeq, a predicted model, not a curated record